RNAcentral lists this ribosomal RNA (433 nucleotides) under uncultured bacterium. RNAcentral's name for it is "partial 16S ribosomal RNA". It matches the Rfam family "Bacterial small subunit ribosomal RNA", at positions 29 to 507 of the family's 1533-position model. The record is from RNAcentral.
AACGAACGCUGGCGGCAUGCCUAACACAUGCAAGUCGAACGAGACCUUCGGGUCUAGUGGCGCACGGGUGCGUAACGCGUCGGAAGCUGCCCGUAGGUUCGGAAUAACUCCCCGACAGGGGUGCUAAUACCGGAUAAUUUCUUCUGACCACAGAUUUAUCGCCGUUGUAUGGGCCCGCGUUGUAUUAGCAUUUUAGUAGUGUAAAAGCCUACCACGGCUACGAUCGUUAGCUGGUCAGAGAGACAGAUCAGCCACACUGGGACUGUGACACGGCCGGGAAUCCUACGGGAGGGAGCAGUGGGGAAUAUAGGACAACGGCCGGAGGGCUGAAGGAGCAAGGCCGCGAGAGUGAUGAAGGCCGUAGGGAUGUAAAGCUCUUUUACCCGGGAUGGUAAUGACAGUACCGGGAGAAUAAGCACCGGCUAACUCCGUG